This 51-nucleotide small nucleolar RNA is filed under the name Pyrobaculum neutrophilum V24Sta. RNAcentral's name for it is "PNEsR116". The record is from RNAcentral. Lineage: Archaea; Thermoproteati; Thermoproteota; Thermoprotei; Thermoproteales; Thermoproteaceae.
GUGGCUGGAUGGUUCGGCGCCGAUGGGGUGAGGAUUAGCCCUACAUGAGGA